GACGAACGCUGGCGGCGUGCCUAAUACAUGCAAGUAGAACGCUGAAGGAGGAGCUUGCUCUUCUGGAUGAGUUGCGAACGGGUGAGUAACGCGUAGGUAACCUGCCUGGUAGCGGGGGAUAACUAUUGGAAACGAUAGCUAAUACCGCAUAACAGUAGAUGUUGCAUGACAUUUGCUUAAAAGGUGCAAUUGCACCACUACCAGAUGGACCUGCGUUGUAUUAGCUAGUUGGUGGGGUAACGGCUCACCAAGGCGACGAUACAUAGCCGACCUGAGAGGGUGAUCGGCCACACUGGGACUGAGACACGCCCCAGACUCCUACGGGAGGCAGCAGUAGGGAAUCGUCGGCAAGGGACGGAAGUCUGACCGAGCAACGCCGCGUGAGUGAAGAAGGUUGUCGGAUCGGAAAGCUCUGUUGUAAGAGAAGAACGAGUGUGAGAGUGGAAAGUUCACACUGUGACGGUAUCUUACCAGAAAGGGACGGCUAACUACGUG
Molecule: ribosomal RNA, 495 nt
Filed under: uncultured bacterium
Lineage: Bacteria
Description: partial 16S ribosomal RNA
Rfam family: Bacterial small subunit ribosomal RNA
Source: RNAcentral